RNAcentral lists this ribosomal RNA (253 nucleotides) under uncultured bacterium. Its description in RNAcentral is "partial 16S ribosomal RNA". It matches the Rfam family "Bacterial small subunit ribosomal RNA", at positions 524 to 776 of the family's 1533-position model. The record is from RNAcentral.
UACGGAGGGGGCUAGCGUUGUUCGGAAUUACUGGGCGUAAAGCGAGUGUAGGCGGUCUGAUAAGUCGGGUGUGAAAGCCCUGGGCUCAACCCAGGAAGUGCACUCGAAACUGCCAGGCUAGAGUAUCGGAGAGGUUGGUGGAAUUCUCGGUGUAGAGGUGAAAUUCGUAGAUAUCGAGAGGAACACCGGUGGCGAAGGCGGCCAACUGGACGAUUACUGACGCUGAGACUCGAAAGCGUGGGGAGCAAACAGG